GACGAACGCUGGCGGCGUGCUUAACACAUGCAAGUCGAACGGAAAGUCCCUGCUUUUGUGGGGUGCUCGAGUGGCGACCGGGUGAGUAACCCGUGAGUAACCUGCCCUUGACUUUGGGAUAACUUCAGGAAACUGGAGCUAAUACCGGAUAGGAGCUCCUGCUGCUUGGUGGGGGUUGGAAAGUUUCGGCGGUUGGGGAUGGACUCGCGGCUUGUCAGCUUGUUGGUGGGGUAGUGGCUUACCAAGGCUUUGACCGGUAGCCGGCCUGAAAGGGUGACCUGCCACACUGGGAUUGAGAUACGGCCCGGACUCCUCCGGGAGGGAGGAGUGGGGAAUAUUGCACAAGGGACGGAACCCUGAUGCAGCAACGCAGCGUGCGGGAUGACGGCCUUCGGGUUGUAAACCGCUGUCGCCUGUGACGAAGCGUGAGUGACGGUAAUGGGUAAAGAAGCACCGGCUAACUACGUG
RNAcentral lists this ribosomal RNA (468 nucleotides) under uncultured bacterium. Its description in RNAcentral is "partial 16S ribosomal RNA". It matches the Rfam family "Bacterial small subunit ribosomal RNA", at positions 28 to 507 of the family's 1533-position model. The record is from RNAcentral.